GACGAACGCGGCGGCGUGCUUAACACAUGCAAGUCGAACGAAGAGCGAUGGAAGCUUGCUUCUAUCAAUCUUAGUGGCGAACGGGUGAGUAACGCGUAAUCAACCUGCCCUUCAGAGGGGGACAACAGUUGGAAACGACUGCUAAUACCGCAUACGAUCUAAUCUCGGCAUCGAGGAUAGAUGAAAGGUGGCCUCUACAUGUAAGCUAUCACUGAAGGAGGGGAUUGCGUCUGAUUAGCUAGUUGGAGGGGUAACGGCCCACCAAGGCGAUGAUCAGUAGCCGGUCUGAGAGGAUGAACGGCCACAUUGGGACUGAGACACGGCCCAGACUCCUACGGGAGGCAGCAGUGGGGAAUCUUCCGCAAUGGACGAAAGUCUGACGGAGCAACGCCGCGUGAGUGAUGACGGCCUUCGGGUUGUAAAAGCUCUGUUAAUCGGG
Molecule: ribosomal RNA, 439 nt
Filed under: Veillonella parvula
Lineage: Bacteria; Bacillati; Bacillota; Negativicutes; Veillonellales; Veillonellaceae
Description: bacterial SSU rRNA
Rfam family: Bacterial small subunit ribosomal RNA
Source: RNAcentral